GAUGAACGCUGGCGGCGUGCCUAAUACAUGCAAGUCGAGCGAACAGACGAGGAGCUUGCUCCUCUGACGUUAGCGGCGGACGGGUGAGUAACACGUGGAUAACCUACCUAUAAGACUGGGAUAACUUCGGGAAACCGGAGCUAAUACCGGAUAAUAUAUUGAACCGCAUGGUUCAAUAGUGAAAGACGGUUUUGCUGUCACUUAUAGAUGGAUCCGCGCCGCAUUAGCUAGUUGGUAAGGUAACGGCUUACCAAGGCAACGAUGCGUAGCCGACCUGAGUGGGUGAUCGGCCACACUGGAACUGAGACACGGUCCAGACUCCUACGGGAGGCAGCAGUAGGGAAUCUUCCGCAAUGGGCGAAAGCUUGACGGAGCAACGCCGCGUGAGUGAUGAAGGUCUUCGGAUCGUAAAACUCUGUUAUUAGGGAAGAACAAAUGUGUAAGUAACUAUGCACGUCUUGACGGUACCUAAUCAGAAAGCCACGGCUAACUACGUG
Molecule: ribosomal RNA, 497 nt
Filed under: uncultured bacterium
Lineage: Bacteria
Description: partial 16S ribosomal RNA
Rfam family: Bacterial small subunit ribosomal RNA
Source: RNAcentral